This 307-nucleotide ribosomal RNA is filed under the name uncultured Enterobacteriaceae bacterium. RNAcentral describes it as "bacterial SSU rRNA". It matches the Rfam family "Bacterial small subunit ribosomal RNA", at positions 1074 to 1382 of the family's 1533-position model. Lineage: Bacteria; Pseudomonadati; Pseudomonadota; Gammaproteobacteria; Enterobacterales; Enterobacteriaceae. The record is from RNAcentral.
GUUGGUUAAGUCCCGCAACGAGCGCAACCCUUAUCCUUGUUGCCAGCGAGUAAUGUCGGGAACUCAAAGGAGACUGCCGGUGAUAAACCGGAGGAAGGUGGGGAUGACGUCAAGUCAUCAUGGCCCUUACGAGUAGGGCUACACACGUGCUACAAUGGCAUAUACAAAGAGAAGCGAACUCGCGAGAGCAAGCGGACCUCAUAAAGUAUGUCGUAGUCCGGAUUGGAGUCUGCAACUCGACUCCAUGAAGUCGGAAUCGCUAGUAAUCGUAGAUCAGAAUGCUACGGUGAAUACGUUCCCGGGCCUU